AUUGAACGCUGGCGGAAUGCUUUACACAUGCAAGUCGAACGGUAGAGGGGGCAACCCCUUGAGAGUGGCGAACGGGUGAGUAAUAUAUCGGAACGUGCCCAGUCGUGGGGAUAACGUAGCGAAAGUUACGCUAAUACCGCAUACGAUCUAAGGAUGAAAGCGGGGGAUCGCAAGACCUCGCGCGAUUGGAGCGGCCGAUAUCAGAUUAGGUAGUUGGUGAGGUAAAGGCUCACCAAGCCAACGACCUGUAGCUGGUCUGAGAGGACGACCAGCCACACUGGGACUGAGACACGGCCCAGACUCCUACGGGAGGCAGCAGUGGGGAAUUUUGGACAAUGGGCGCAAGCCUGAUCCAGCAAUGCCGCGUGCAGGAUGAAGGCCUCGGUUGUAACUAGCUUUGUUACGGAACGAAACGGUAGAGCUCUAAUACAG
This 432-nucleotide ribosomal RNA is filed under the name uncultured bacterium. Its description in RNAcentral is "bacterial SSU rRNA". It matches the Rfam family "Bacterial small subunit ribosomal RNA", at positions 30 to 469 of the family's 1533-position model. The record is from RNAcentral.